This 436-nucleotide unclassified non-coding RNA is filed under the name Ixora sp. Alejandro 12-406. RNAcentral's name for it is "contains 3' external transcribed spacer, ETS". The record is from RNAcentral. Lineage: Eukaryota; Viridiplantae; Streptophyta; Magnoliopsida; Gentianales; Rubiaceae.
GAUCACAGCCUGAGCGGUGACGUCCUCCCUUGCAUGCCUCCUCAAGUAUUGGCGCAAGAGCAGCAUYGUAAGCCUUGGCCGUCCGCGGGUUUCCUGUAUUGCAUACCUACACGAAGGAAUUCGGGUGUCCCAACAUUUAACGUUCUCCUAAUGCCGCCCCCCGACAAGGGCGCGGUGUGAGGUGAACCGCGAAGGCAAAUUUGUGUUCCAAGACAAUCGUAGCACACGUUGUUGUUUUGGCCCACGAAGUGCAGCCUGAGCUCUCGGAUGCGGAAUACCAUGAGGGCAGGAGGUCGUGGCCUCCGUGUGCCCACGCUCAGCGUUAAUCGCUCGCAUCGAACGACUACCGUCGUCGUCUUGAGAAGUCAUGUCCUUCGGGCGUGUCGUCGACAAGCGGCGCCGGUGUCUGUGAGGAAUGCUACCUGGUUGAUCCUGC